UGCAUAUAUACCCAUUUUAAAACUCGCUGC
Molecule: non-coding RNA, 30 nt
Filed under: Rattus norvegicus (Norway rat)
Lineage: Eukaryota; Metazoa; Chordata; Mammalia; Rodentia; Muridae
Source: RNAcentral